AUAAAAGCUAUCCCUGUGACGUGAACACAAAGCAUCCGGCAAAUCUCGCCGACAAAAGUUCUGGAGUGGGGCACGCGUUAUUUGAUCUGACUGAUUCGAAACCAGGAUCUGGUUUUCUUGCAAAUGUAAGUCCAACUCAGCACGUCUAACAAGCGCAGUUUGAAUGCUGCUCUAAAGCAAAUUAGAGCCACGGCAAAGCUAAUUUAGCAAGACUCUUAAAAUAGACCCAUGUUAACAUUUUCCUGACGAUGAGAAAGGUGGACGCAGCUUGACUUCGGUAAAUUGCUGCAAAUGAGGAUGUCGGGGUGGAUGGCUGGCUCAGCACAGUAUGCAACUUUCAAAGUCAAUGCACAGGCUGGUAGCGACAGUCAACAGUGGUUUCUUUAAACAAGGACAACGAGGCUUCUCCCAACCCGGGGCGAGUUUUAUUCAGAGUUUAUUUUCAGAUAUUUUGGUAAAAAACACAUCACAUGGCUUUCUUGCAGAGAGUUACAUGAAGGAAUAGGUUCCACUCCCACGUCCGUACGGAAAAUAUGGAGCUACGACCAGCUGCUGGUUAACAGGGUUUAACAUAAAUAUGUCCAGCAGCACCUCUGAAGCUCACCAAUUAACCCGUUUAUUAACAUGUUGGAUCUCGUGAGAUGAGAUUGCCAGGCAGCCAGCUGAGACUCCAGGAAGUGUCCGCUCCCUGCCAAGUUGUAGUCUGGCACAUACUUGCACAUAGGUUUUUUGUUUUUACAUAACAAUUUCUGAGCAGAUUCAACAGGCAUGAUGCAAAUGUUGAUUCAGGGUGAGGAAGAAGGUGAUUCUCUUGGAUGUCGUGAUUCUUUUUUUUUUUUCUUUUUUAGGAUUUUUUUAAUUGAUUGGAAUUGAUUCAAUUGCUUUUUCUGGUCAUUAAAUGAGGUGCUGUUACCCUGCACAUGGCAAAAUGUGUUUUUCGCAGUCUGUGAUUAUAAAUAAAAUAAAGUUCCCUCUAGUGUUCCCUUCAACUCCUCUAUAAAUGUAUCACAACUUUCUAUGACUGUGCCAUGGCACAUGUUACCCCCCUCCCUUUUUUUGCCCCUUGUCCCUCGAACUUCUUGAGUCCGCCACAGCUGAAUAACAUGAUGUACAUUGUUUGUCGGAAUGCAUUUCGUGAUAUAAAGUCUUAAGGAGUGAAGGACUGGACUUCUUCCCAUGGGCUCAUGUCCAAACAUAAAAACCACAGCGUCGUGAUAGUGUUGAAUAAGCAGAUAACCAUUUUGUCCUAGUGUUAACGGAAGAGUUCACCCAAAAAUGAAAAUUCAGUCACUGUCUUCUCACCUCGACUGUCGAUGGGAAGUCAGGUGAAGUUUCGUAGUCCACGAAACGUUCCUGGAGCUCGACAGGAAAACCUCUGCAGCAUCCUCCUAAACAACUGAAGUAGGGACUGAAAAAAAAACAAACAAAUACAAAACAGCUCCACAAAGCUUUUCAGACAUAAUCCAGGUCUCCUGAAGCCCCGAGGUCCCACAUUGAUAUGAAAAGAUGCCAUUUACACCCUUUUUUAAGCUGAAAUCUUCACUUUAGCCGACGGGCUAAAAGUAUCUGAUGGGGAAGCACGAGCUCAACUGUGAACGGAGGGUGUUAAUAACAUCUUUUCAGAUCAGUUUGGGAUUUUGGGUCCCCCGCCCACCCCAGUUAUUAAGGGGAAUACUGCGAACACAUAUUUGCUGUGAAGAUCCAAAAAUGUUUUUGUUGACAUCAGCAUGAGGGUGAGGAAAUAAUAACUGCAUUUCCACUUGCGGGUGAACUCUUCAGAACACAGGUGCACAGUUUUGACGUUGCUUGGCAAGUUGUUUCCCCCGCUAAUUUCCACUCCUUUUUGCCAAGUCAAGCUAACUGGCUGCUGGCUUUAGGCUUCUGUUUACUGUCCACACAGUUCACAGUGAACAGCUCACUUGUACCAACAGUGGAAAAAAAUGUGUUCCCCGAUCUUAAUCAGGCCUCCGCAUUAAAGGUGGCAGAACAGACGGGCGCUCUAAUCAUUUUUCAAAGCCACCGACAAAUCGCUCAAAUUUUUCCUUUUAGUCUGAGAUCUUAUUGCGCAGACAAAUAGGGACCUAAAGUUCGAGGACAACACGGUCAGUUGUUAAAAGUGCCUUGCCUGGCCUUAAAAUCCCCUCUCGUUAUGAAGCCCAGUGUUCUUCAAACACACAGACCCCCCACACGGUGUCUGUUGUGUUCCUCUUUGUUGGAACAGAAAAAGCUUUCCUCAGAAUGCUAACUGACAUUUUGUGGGCAGCAUUUGAUCCGGCUGGGAACGCGUGGAGCUGGUGGGCUGAAAGGUUCCCCGCUAACCUUACAGACGGAGAACAAUCCCACGAGGGAAUAGUGUGUCCUCCCCCCCUCUGUCGCUUCCACCUCAGAACUCGGCCGGCUCUCCCUCGGGAGGAACUUCGGAGGGAUAAACAAGGCGAUUAGAGAAAUGUAUGAAGACGGAAGUUGGAGGUAUCGACUAGGGAAUUCUGACCUCCGACAUUGUGUAUAAAUCCAUGGUGCUGAAGAAGCAGGCUUUACAUCUUAGAUAAUAAGAAAUUCUCAGUUCUAUCCCAUAUUUAAGCCUGUGUACUCGCAUUGUUGCAAUGUGGAGUAAGAGUGAGCGCAUCGCAGAGGCACACUGCUGCCUGUAGUAUGAUGAAUGCAUCCUUUGGGAGGAGUACAUGAAUGUUAGUGUAGUUGAUAGUGUGGGGGCCGGGGUUGGUGCUCCCAUUGGGCCAUUCCCCCGCUAUCAAAAACAUGUAAGUAAGGUUAAUUCUCUUGGCUGAGAGCUGGUUUUGAUCUGUGGGCGCGGCAUAGCUGCUUCUCAGUGCUCCUCAUACAUACUUAGGAUGGGUUAAAUGCAGAGAACGAUCAAUAAAGGCUAACUUCAAAUACAACAGAAUUGUGUAUUUAUGUUUCUGAGCAGAUCAAUUAUUGAAAAUGUGUUCUUAUGAAUGAAUAAAUACAAUAAAAACUCACAGAUGUGAACAAAUAAAACAUA
Molecule: long non-coding RNA, 3001 nt
Organism: Acanthopagrus latus (yellowfin seabream)
Lineage: Eukaryota; Metazoa; Chordata; Actinopteri; Spariformes; Sparidae
Exons: 2
Source: RefSeq, a predicted model, not a curated record